RNAcentral lists this ribosomal RNA (448 nucleotides) under uncultured bacterium. RNAcentral's name for it is "bacterial SSU rRNA". It matches the Rfam family "Bacterial small subunit ribosomal RNA", at positions 329 to 794 of the family's 1533-position model. The record is from RNAcentral.
AGCCAGACUCCUACGGGAGGCAGCAGUGGGGAAUAUUGCACAAUGGGCGAAAGCCUGAUGCAGCGACGCCGCGUGAAGGAUGAAGUAUUUCGGUAUGUAAACUUCUAUCAGCAGGGAAGAAAAUGACGGUACCUGACUAAGAAGCCCCGGCUAACUACGUGCCAGCAGCCGCGGUAAUACGUAGGGGGCAAGCGUUAUCCGGAUUUACUGGGUGUAAAGGGGGCGCAGACGGCGAUGCAAGCCAGGAGUGAAAGCCCGGGGCCCAACCCCGGGACUGCUCUUGGAACUGCGUGGCUGGAGUGCAGGAGGGGCAGGCGGAAUUCCUGGUGUGGCGGUGAAAUGCGUAGAUAUCAGGAGGAACACCGGUGGCGAAGGCGGCCUGCUGGGCUGCAACUGACGUUGAGGCCCGAAAGCGUGGGGAGCAAACAGGAUUAGAUACCCCGGUACA